Long non-coding RNA from Diprion similis, 254 nucleotides. RefSeq lists it as uncharacterized. The record is from RefSeq and is a predicted model, not a curated record. The transcript has 2 exons. Lineage: Eukaryota; Metazoa; Arthropoda; Insecta; Hymenoptera; Diprionidae.
CAAGUCGGCGAGUAACUUUAAGAUCGUGGGAGCGAAGGGCGGACAGUAAACAAGAGGAGCAAGCUUACCUUGAACACUGUGUGGUCGGAUGUGAUCAGCACCGAUCCGACGAUCAGGAAUCGACGCAGGCAGUCAGGCAAAGCGAUCACCGUGUAUCCUUGAAAUCACAGUCGUGGUGCACAGAAAUCAAUCACAGCGCGAACGAACAGGCAACGCGGUAUUAAUGUGGCGGCAAAAGUAUCUUGAUAGGUGUA